Molecule: ribosomal RNA, 756 nt
Filed under: Campylobacter coli
Lineage: Bacteria; Pseudomonadati; Campylobacterota; Epsilonproteobacteria; Campylobacterales; Campylobacteraceae
Also listed under: 1 other name
Description: bacterial SSU rRNA
Rfam family: Bacterial small subunit ribosomal RNA
Source: RNAcentral
AGGAUUAGAUACCCUGGUAGUCCACGCCCUAAACGAUGUACACUAGUUGUUGGGGUGCUAGUCAUCUCAGUAAUGCAGCUAACGCAUUAAGUGUACCGCCUGGGGAGUACGGUCGCAAGAUUAAAACUCAAAGGAAUAGACGGGGACCCGCACAAGCGGUGGAGCAUGUGGUUUAAUUCGAAGAUACGCGAAGAACCUUACCUGGGCUUGAUAUCCUAAGAACCUUUUAGAGAUAAGAGGGUGCUAGCUUGCUAGAACUUAGAGACAGGUGCUGCACGGCUGUCGUCAGCUCGUGUCGUGAGAUGUUGGGUUAAGUCCCGCAACGAGCGCAACCCACGUAUUUAGUUGCUAACGGUUCGGCCGAGCACUCUAAAUAGACUGCCUUCGUAAGGAGGAGGAAGGUGUGGACGACGUCAAGUCAUCAUGGCCCUUAUGCCCAGGGCGACACACGUGCUACAAUGGCAUAUACAAUGAGACGCAAUACCGCGAGGUGGAGCAAAUCUAUAAAAUAUGUCCCAGUUCGGAUUGUUCUCUGCAACUCGAGAGCAUGAAGCCGGAAUCGCUAGUAAUCGUAGAUCAGCCAUGCUACGGUGAAUACGUUCCCGGGUCUUGUACUCACCGCCCGUCACACCAUGGGAGUUGAUUUCACUCGAAGCCGGAAUACUAAACUAGUUACCGUCCACAGUGGAAUCAGCGACUGGGGUGAAGUCGUAACAAGGUAACCGUAGGAGAACCUGCGGUUGGAUCACCUCCUUU